Molecule: long non-coding RNA, 375 nt
Organism: Asterias rubens (European starfish)
Lineage: Eukaryota; Metazoa; Echinodermata; Asteroidea; Forcipulatida; Asteriidae
Exons: 3
Source: RefSeq, a predicted model, not a curated record
UGUGUGAAAUGUAAACACACCAUUUUGCUGUCAAAAUGGAUCGCCGAAAUACACAGAUUCAGCUCAUUGCUCUACGCAAAGAGAUGAUUGGAGACACGUCCAAAAAGAAGGAAGGGACACCUCGCCAAUCAGGGUGCUAUGUGAGCAGAUGCCAGGACUUGGCGUAAACAUCUUGGAGACCUCAUCAAACCCGGCACCUCCAAUUCCACAUCAUCCACCUCCGCAAAGCUCUUGCCAAGCUGGUGUGUUUGUACCAACUGUAGGGAGAUGCCAACACAACAGGACAUGCUGCAAACAAAGGCCGGAUGAAUGCUUCUCAAACUUGGCAAUCUUGAGGCACCUUGUUGUGGACCACCAUUGAGUUGGCACAACAUC